This 497-nucleotide ribosomal RNA is filed under the name uncultured bacterium. RNAcentral describes it as "partial 16S ribosomal RNA". It matches the Rfam family "Bacterial small subunit ribosomal RNA", at positions 28 to 507 of the family's 1533-position model. The record is from RNAcentral.
GAUGAACGCUGGCGGCGUGCCUAAUACAUGCAAGUCGAGCGAACGGACGAGAAGCUUGCUUCUCUGAUGUUAGCGGCGGACGGGUGAGUAACACGUGGAUAACCUACCUAUAAGACUGGGAUAACUUCGGGAAACCGGAGCUAAUACCGGAUAAUAUUUUGAACCGCAUGGUUCAAAAGUGAAAGACGGUCUUGCUGUCACUUAUAGAUGGAUCCGCGCUGCAUUAGCUAGUUGGUAAGGUAACGGCUUACCAAGGCAACGAUGCAUAGCCGACCUGAGAGGGUGAUCGGCCAGACUGGAACUGAGACCCGGUCCAGACUCCUACGGGAGGCAGCAGUAGGGAAGCUUCCGCAAUGGGCGAAAGCCUGACGGAGCAACGCCGCUUGAGUGAUGAAGGUCUUCGGAUCGUAAAACUCUGUUAUUAGGGAAGAACAUAUGUGUAAGUACCUGUGCACAUCUUGACGGUACCUAAUCAGAAAGCCACGGCUAACUACGUG